CCACUUUCUAGAGGCUGCAGCAUUCCUUGGCUCAUGGUCCUGUUCCUCCAUUUUCAAAGCCAGCAAUGACUGGCCCUGAGCUAACAUCCGUGUCCAUCUUCCUCUACUUUAUAUGUGGGACGCCUGCCACAGCAUGGCUUGCCAAGAGGUACCAUGUCCACACCCGGGAUCAGAACCAGCAAAUCCCAGGCCGCCAAAGUGGAACGUGCAAACUUAAUCACUGUGCCACCAGGCCAACCCCAAGGAACCUCCAUUUCUAAUAAACUCCCAGGUGCUUGUCUUUCACCUUAGAGGCUUUUCUUAAACGUCCAAUCAUCUUUGGUUGAAAAGAUAACUAUGUAGGCUCAUUUACUGAUAGAAUUCACCACGCGGUGAUCGG
RNAcentral lists this long non-coding RNA (379 nucleotides) under Equus caballus (horse). RNAcentral's name for it is "lncRNA (ENSECAG00000031077.2)". The record is from RNAcentral. Lineage: Eukaryota; Metazoa; Chordata; Mammalia; Perissodactyla; Equidae.